CAGUAGCCGCGGGAACACGAAGGGUGCAAGCGUUACUCGGAAUUACUGGGCGUAAAGCGUGUGUAGGUGGUUGUUUAAGUCUGUCGUGAAAGCCCUGGGCUCAACCUGGGAAUUGCGAUGGAUACUGGGCGACUAGAGUGCGGUAGAGGAUAGUGGAAUUCCCGGUGUAGCAGUGAAAUGCGUAGAGAUCGGAAGGAACAUCUGUGGCGAAGGCGACUAUCUGGGCCAACACUGACACUGAGACACGAAAGCGUGGGGAGCAAGCAGGAUUAGAUACCCCUGUAGUCCCUGUCUCUUAUAC
RNAcentral lists this ribosomal RNA (301 nucleotides) under uncultured bacterium. RNAcentral describes it as "partial 16S ribosomal RNA". It matches the Rfam family "Bacterial small subunit ribosomal RNA", at positions 509 to 807 of the family's 1533-position model. The record is from RNAcentral.